Non-coding RNA from Vicia faba (fava bean), 333 nucleotides. NCBI's taxonomy places the organism in Eukaryota, Viridiplantae, Streptophyta, Magnoliopsida, Fabales, Fabaceae. The record is from the annotation of a GenBank genome assembly.
AUGGUGGAUCAUGAAAUCGUGUGCUGCAUGUGCGGUGACGUUGGUUUCUCUGACAAACUCUUCCGAUGCAACAAAUGUCACCACCGAUUCCAACACUCGUAUUGUAGUAACUUCUAUGGUGACCUAAGUGAGAUUGAAGAGUGCGAUUGGUGUCAAAGCAAAGGUAAAAGCAGUGUUGGCUUCAAGAAACCGGCGGUGACGAUCAACCGUCGUUCUGGAUGUUCCGGCGAGAAGCAUCGGGAGGAGAAUUGUUCGGAGAAGAGGAAGAGUCCGGUGGCGUCACCGAGACAAGCAACACGCAGGUAUAAGCUUCUUAAAGACGUAAUGUGUUGA